This 465-nucleotide ribosomal RNA is filed under the name Vreelandella stevensii. Its description in RNAcentral is "partial 16S ribosomal RNA". It matches the Rfam family "Bacterial small subunit ribosomal RNA", at positions 338 to 795 of the family's 1533-position model. The record is from RNAcentral. Lineage: Bacteria; Pseudomonadati; Pseudomonadota; Gammaproteobacteria; Oceanospirillales; Halomonadaceae.
CCUACGGGGGGCAGCAGUGGGGAAUAUUGGACAAUGGGGGCAACCCUGAUCCAGCCAUGCCGCGUGUGUGAAGAAGGCCCUCGGGUUGUAAAGCACUUUCAGUGAGGAAGAACGCCUGGUGGUUAAUACCCAUCAGGAAAGACAUCACUCACAGAAGAAGCACCGGCUAACUCCGUGCCAGCAGCCGCGGUAAUACGGAGGGUGCGAGCGUUAAUCGGAAUUACUGGGCAUAAAGCGCGCGUAGGUGGCUUGAUAAGCCGGUUGUGAAAGCCCCGGGCUCAACCUGGGAACGGCAUCCGGAACUGUCAAGCUAGAGUGCAGGAGAGGAAGGUAGAAUUCCCGGUGUAGCGGUGAAAUGCGUAGAGAUCGGGAGGAAUACCAGUGGCGAAGGCGGCCUUCUGGACUGACACUGACACUGAGGUGCGAAAGCGUGGGUAGCAAACAGGAUUAGAUACCCUGGUAGUC